AGUAGGGAAUCUUCCGCAAUGGACGAAAGUCUGACGGAGCAACGCCGCGUGAGCGAAGAAGGUCUUCGGAUUGUAAAGCUCUGUUGUUAGGGAAGAACAAGUACCGUUCGAAGAGGGCGGUACCGUGACGGUACCUAACGAGAAAGCCACGGCUAACUACGUGCCAGCAGCCGCGGUAAUACGUAGGUGGCAAGCGUUGUCCGGAAUUAUUGGGCGUAAAGCGCGCGCAGGCGGUUCCUUAAGUCUGAUGUGAAAGCCCACGGCUCAACCGUGGAGGGUCAUUGGAAACUGGGGGACUUGAGUGCAGAAGAGGAGAGCGGAAUUCCACGUGUAGCGGUGAAAUGCGUAGAGAUGUGGAGGAACACCAGUGGCGAAGGCGGCUCUCUGGUCUGUAACUGACGCUGAGGCGCGAAAGCGUGGGGAGCAAA
This 428-nucleotide ribosomal RNA is filed under the name uncultured Anoxybacillus sp. RNAcentral's name for it is "bacterial SSU rRNA". It matches the Rfam family "Bacterial small subunit ribosomal RNA", at positions 353 to 772 of the family's 1533-position model. Lineage: Bacteria; Bacillati; Bacillota; Bacilli; Caryophanales; Anoxybacillaceae. The record is from RNAcentral.